RNAcentral lists this long non-coding RNA (346 nucleotides) under Medicago truncatula (barrel medic). RNAcentral's name for it is "lncRNA gene49225". The record is from RNAcentral. Lineage: Eukaryota; Viridiplantae; Streptophyta; Magnoliopsida; Fabales; Fabaceae.
GUGGUCGGGACAUGAUGUUGAGAUGGAUUAAGAUAUCAUAUUAAGAAUUGGAUAGAAAGUGCAAGAAUUUUCUUUGGGGAGCAUGUGAUAAUGGUAAGAAAAUGUACUUGGAACUGUAUAAAUAGUUGGUUGCCUUAAGGUGGGUUUGAGGCAUGUGAUAAUGGUCAUCUUGACAUCUUUAACCAUUAGAACCCUUCUUUCACCUACUGAAUUGUGGAGUAACGCUUCCUUGUCUAUUUGAUAUAAGCCUCCCUAUCUUCUUCGUAUAAAGCUAAAUGGUGAUGAGGAUGUGAUUAAUCAUGAGAAUUUAACUUGUGGAGGUGUGGUCCUAAGACCAUAGCAAGAU